This 492-nucleotide ribosomal RNA is filed under the name uncultured bacterium. RNAcentral's name for it is "partial 16S ribosomal RNA". It matches the Rfam family "Bacterial small subunit ribosomal RNA", at positions 29 to 507 of the family's 1533-position model. The record is from RNAcentral.
AGUGAACGCUGGCGGUAGGCCUAACACAUGCAAGUCGAACGGCAGCACAGUAAGAGCUUGCUCUUACGGGUGGCGAGUGGCGGACGUGUGAGGAAUACAUCGGACUCUACUUUUUCGUGGGGGAUAACGUAGGGAAACUUACGCUAAUACCGCAUACGACCUACGGGUGAAAGCAGGGGAUCUUCGGACCUUGCGCGAUUGAAUGAGCCGAUGUCGGAUUAGCUAGUUGGCGGGGUAAAGGCCCACCAAGGCGACGAUCCGUAGCUGGUCUGAGAGGAUGAUCAGCCACACUGGAACUGAGACACGGUCCAGACUCCUACGGGAGGCAGCAGUGGGGAAUAUUGGACAAUGGGCGCAAGCCUGAUCCAGCCAUACCGCGUGGGUGAAGAAGGCCUUCGGGUUGUAAAGCCCUUUUGUUGGGAAAGAAAAGCAGCAGGUUAAUACCCCGCUGUUCUGACGGUACCCAAAGAAUAAGCACCGGCUAACUUCGUG